This is a long non-coding RNA of Perognathus longimembris pacificus (Pacific pocket mouse), 1978 nucleotides long. RefSeq lists it as uncharacterized. Lineage: Eukaryota; Metazoa; Chordata; Mammalia; Rodentia; Heteromyidae. The transcript has 3 exons. The record is from RefSeq and is a predicted model, not a curated record.
UAUUUAAUAAUUAAAAGAUAAGAAUGUGGCUUCCAAAGCCUAUUACUAUGUUCUAAGGGAGAUUUCACAACCUUGACAGACAUGCAAACUUAAUAAGAGAUUAAAGCAGAACUCUAUCUUUAUCUGCUUCACAUACACAGCAUAUUCAUAUAGAAUAUAGAAUGUAGUAUAUUAAAUAAGACUGAAACCAAAAAUCUUAGAAUUUGAAGUACAUUAUUAACCAUUUAUGGUAUUGUGGCACCUACUUCCCUCCUGAAUCUCAUUUGAUUCCUUGCCAAUGUAUAGAAUAACAGCUCUAGCUCACAGACUUACUCUAAGUCCAAAUUGUCUUCAUACUAUGACUACAGAGUUUUAAAAGUACACUCUGCAAAUAUCAGUCUCCUGAAGAAAUACCACAAAAGAAAGCCAGGAAUACCACAAAAGAAUCUCCAUAUUAAGGUUAGUUAUUUCUUUUCCCUUUUAAGAUCAAAGUGUUUUAUUUUGUUUUGUUCUAUUCAGCAUGAAUUAAGCUUUUCCAAUAGACUACAAAGAAUAUAGAAAAGACACAUCUAUUUCUGCUUCAUGAUGGUAAACAGUUGUACAGGUGUUAAAUAAAAAUUACAAAAAUCCAUUGUUUGGGGCUCAGCUCCUGCACUAGGCCACAACAGAUACAGCUAAAAAAACAAAUAGUAUUCUGUUCAAAUUCUAAGCUAAAACUUAACUAUGUAGUAAAAGUAACCCAGUUUCCCAAAUAGGCCAGUUUCAAUCAGCACAAUGAAAUGCCCUCUGUCUUAACAUUACUCACACACAAAACAAAUGGUAGCUUGAAAUAACUCGACGUUAACCAACUGGUUGUUUUCCUAUUAUUCUGUCUCCCUGUUUAUGUCUCAUAGGAAGAGUGAAAAAAGUAAUUUAAAAACCACCAACCUACUUUUCAGCUGUCCUUUUCUUUUUUGUCUCUGCUUAAUGCAGCCCUUUUUUUUGUCUAUAAAAACCAACCUUUCCAUCAGGCCUCACUGGAGUAUUUAUUAUAUUCCAUCAAAUGGAAGGGUUGUCCAAUUCUGGAAUUGAAAGUGAAAGCCAAUUAAGAUAAUUAAGCCAAAUUGCUAUAAUUCUGUCUUUUGACAGAGGGGGAAGGUUUUCUCCUUUAGAUAUCUCUCUGGUAUGCAAAUUAUAUGGGUAAAAUAAUUCCCUAAGCAACCCAGGCCAGAGCAUAAACAACAACAGAGAAAGUAGCAAAUCUUUGCUACCGAAGAGUUAUGAGGCAACUAACAUGAGGGAAGGUAUGGAAAGGAAAAAGAAAGGAAGGGAAUAGGAAGGGAGGGGAGGGGAAUUGGAACUGUAUUUUACAAUUCACAUAAAAUGCAGUCAUACUGUAAAAGGAACCUUAUCACUUAGAUUAUCUGUCUGUCUAACUAACAUCUAUUUCCUCUCUCAUACCUCUCUUCCUCUCCUCCAAACACUUCUUUCUCUUUUCUCUCUCCUCCCUACUUCUAUUCUCCUCUCUACCUCUCCUCUUUUCUCCUCUCUCUCUCUCUGUCUCUCUCUUUCUGUCUUGCUCACUCUUGCUUGCUGUCAUUUGCUCUAUCUCUUCUUCCACCGAAUGGUUUUGCUAUGUAACUCAGGCUGACCUCAUAUCCAAAUUUCUUUCUAGUUUAUCUGUCUCUAACCUCAAAAUAAAGUGGGAGGAAGGAAGGGAGGGAAGAAGGGAUGGAAGGUAGAAGAGGGAGGGAGGAAGAAAGAAGAAAAGAGAAAAAAAAAGACAGGAAUAGAAAAGAAGAAAAUAGAAACAAAGCAAACACUUGAGAUAUACUUUGCAAUUAUCUUGGCUUUGGAGUUUUUUGGUUUUGUUUCAUUUAGGCUUUGGGGAUUGAUUCUAGGACCUGUGCUAGCAUGUACUCUACCACUGAGCUUCCCCUCUGACCUGUCUUUGAUUUUGAGAUACUUUUCUAUCAGUGGCAAGAUAUUCCUAACACAGUAGGCUUUUUAAAAAAAUCAA